AAUCAACGCUGGCGGCGUGCCUAACACAUGCAAGUCGAACGAUUAAAGCCCUUUCGGGGGUGUAUAGAGUGGCGUACGGGUGAGUAACACGUGGGUAAGUCUACCUUUGGGUUGGGGGAAGUAAACUCAGGGAAACUUGAGCUAAUACCGCAUAAUGCAGCGGCUCGACAUCGAGACAGUUGUUAAAGAUUUAUCGCCUGAAGAGGAGCCUGCGCCUGAUUAGCUAGUUGGUGGGGGAAUGGCUUACCAAGGCUACGAUCAGUAGCUGGUCUGAGA
RNAcentral lists this ribosomal RNA (276 nucleotides) under uncultured bacterium. RNAcentral describes it as "partial 16S ribosomal RNA". It matches the Rfam family "Bacterial small subunit ribosomal RNA", at positions 32 to 297 of the family's 1533-position model. The record is from RNAcentral.